Long non-coding RNA from Prunus avium (sweet cherry), 727 nucleotides. RefSeq lists it as uncharacterized. Lineage: Eukaryota; Viridiplantae; Streptophyta; Magnoliopsida; Rosales; Rosaceae. The record is from RefSeq and is a predicted model, not a curated record.
AUUACAUAUUAAGUUUUGGGUUCUACAUAAAUAUGAAGGUUUCUCAAGCGUGUGAAGGGCAAGAUGAAGAUGAAGAUUGUGGUAGUACUGCAUGCAUUGAUGCAAAGUUCAAUAACAUCGAAUCAUUGAUUUACCAGAGAUUGGAAUUUCUAAACAUUAGGGUUGGAACUAUGGGCAUGAAUUUUCCAACCUUGAAGUAAGGUCAAGGCUAGCAAUUUCAUACGACUAUAUUAGGCAUCGAUAUAUGUGUACUUUCACUUAGUAACUGACUUGAUUAUUUGCAAAUUUAGUUCUGCUUAUAUAAAUGAUAAGUUUUGUGAAACUUUUCAUUCUGCUGAUGGUUGGAGACAUCGUCCUGUUCAUAUAAUGCCACUCCAUUCUGGAUGCAUCAUGUCAUGCCACACAUACACGAAAUUGGACUAUGGAGCUGCCAACGAACAGACAAAUCCAUUAAAAUUAUAUGAUGUUCACAAACCCAGGGACCCUUGGUUCAGAGAGAGCACCAGUUGACAAAGAAGUUAGAGUUUCUUGAAUUGAUGAAACUAUCAUCUUCCAAACUCUUGAUCGAGAUUCUUCUUAAAAUCAUUGCUACCCAUUGGGAGUUCUCUGUGGACUGCUCAACACUUCCAAGAACUAAAUUGCGAGUAGGGAAAUUCUUAUAUGAUUAUGGAGCAGAUUGAAUUUGAUGUAAGAUUACAUGUUCUGAACUUGGUGCACAAUGUAAUCC